UUAAUUAUGUAUAGAACCCCGUUAUCAGAAAAUGGGUAGUUUCGUGUUCGUCGGAAAACGUAACGUACAGAAAGUUCCUAAAGUCGAACGUGAUCAAAAGGAUCCAAGUAUAGUUCGCCGGUAAGUUGAAGGAAGGCCCACGCGGUUAAGAAGCAGGAGACUACUGAUAGUAAGUACAUUUUCGAUGUAGUAAAUGGCGGUUAUAAGUUUAUUUUUUCCGUCGGAAAACGGUAACGUACAAAAAGAUCUGUCUAAAUGUAUCAAAAGGAUCUUAGUAUAAAACUGGAUCAAAAGGAUCAUAGUAUAGAAAUUGAUGCUAGAAGCUCGCCGGUAAAAAGAACGAAAGCCCAUGUAGCCAAGCUGUAGCAGGCUACGGAUGGUUGUUACAUUUUAGAUGUAGUAAAUUGCGGUAAACGGUAACGUACAGAAAGAGAUAAAAGGAGCAAUUGAUCAAAAGGAUCAUAGUAUUGAAAUUUAUCAAAAAGAAAAAAUCAUAGAAUAAAAAAUAAAAAUUAUUACCGGAAGUUUGUCGGUAAGUAGACUGAAAACCCACGUGACAUUUAUCAUGUUGUUAAUACGCCCGUUAAUACGUUUAUAGUGGUAUUUAAUAAGAAUGGGAGGCCUCGAUAUAUUUAAAAUUAUUAUUUAUUUAUUUGUUCUACUUUCGAUAUUAGAGGAGCGUAUCAUGAUAUUGAUACAUUAACGAACGGUGUGGUUUGAGCUAUCAAGAGAAUAGCAGGCAGUGUUAGGUUGUUAUAAGCUUAUAUUUGGCACGAUAACGGCCGAUCAUAUAUUUACUAAAACUCGUUAAAACUAAAAUGAGGUGUACUAGCAUUCUUACGUCAAAUUGACUUAAAAUAGUUAUUUGCUUUUGUGAUGAUGGCAUACAUCACAGUGUAGAAUAUGAAAAAACAUUAUAUGCUAGUGACUAGACGAGUUUGAUGUUAACUGGCUGAAGAAACAGUAUUUUGAUUCCUUCUCAGAGAGUAGAAUGGCUCGGGGAUGUGAUCGAUAUGCAUACAAUGCAGUUUUUCAUAAUUAAAAAUUGAGUAGCUAGGCUAGAAAAAAGUAUUGAUUCGAUGAUCUAUCUAAUUUAUCAAACGAAAGAAAAAGUAGUACCAAAAGAUAAAUUAAUAGCUAGUCUUGUAGGGCAGACAAUUUCCUUUCAGAGUGUGGUUGUAAAUAAAGUUUGGUGAUAACAAUGCAUAUAUACAAUUGCAUAAAUACCAGAGCUAGUUGGAAAGCUCCCCUUAUUGUAACGUUGCAGAUAUUUCCAAACUUAGAUUAUGGAAAGAAAGCACUAGGCAGUUAAUCAACGGUGGAAAAGAUUUCAAACACAAUCAGUUGUUUUUGUGUAAUAUAUUUGCUGAUGCAAGUACCACAAGUGAUGGUUUAUGGAGGUUUUAUAGAAAGUUGUAGCUUGAAUGUAGAUAUAGGCGAAAUGACUGUCAAGCUAACGAUUUUCAUAAAAAUAAAAAAGCAAAUUUAUUUUCAAUUUGUUUUAUUCCAUUGACGAAGAGAGUAAAGGUAUGUACUCGUGGUCUUUGAGACCCGAAAAUGAGAAAAUUGGAAUGUACAUGAUCUUAAUAAAAAGAGCAACCUGUUCCCGGAAGUGAACAGAUUAUUGACGAAAAGAGAAAAGUUAUUCCUGGAAGUGAUUACUAUAUUACACUGUUAAAAUCAAGGAGGUACACUGCCAGUGUUUCUAUAAACGAAACAGGUAAUGCAUAUUGUGAUUUAAAAUGAAGUCAAUACAUUAAGCCACCGGAAGUUGGUUUUCAAGAUAAACCGGAUAAGUAUUCCGUCGUUCAACAUGACGUAAGUAAAAUUUCUUAUGAUCAAGAAAAUGCCUUGCAUACGGCUAGAAAAGGUAUGUUAUUGCUCCCGGAAGUGAGCAGAAAGAGUUUGCUAUGGUCCCCGGAAGUGGACAAAGAGCCCAGUAGAUUGCUCCCGGAAGUGAGCAGAAAUUGUAGGCUAUGGUCCCCGGAAGUGGACAUAGAGCUCAGUAGAUUGCUCCCGGAAGUGAGCAGAGAUGCUCCAUGAAGAGAGCAGAGAGUAUGCUAUGGUCCCCGGAUGUUAUAUUAUAUGAAAUGUUUUAAAUGCUUUGCAAAAUUCGUCCAUCAAAGUGUAUUCAGACAAUAAAAUGUAAAAUCUAUAUUAUUGAAUGGUAGUCAAAAGAAAUAGCUUUAGAUUUAAAUAUGUUGUGUGGAUACUGGAUUCAAUGAAAAGAGGCAGUGGGUGCCUUAGUUCAAUAUGGGGAAACAAUGUAAACUGGUUAGUUCAGAAACUAGGUUGGUAUUAAUCUGUAUCAAUAAGAUGAUAUCAGAGAAAGCAAAAUGCAUCCUUAUUGUUCCAAAAAGGGGCAGUUCGCCUUAUUGGCUAAUAUUGAUUUGUCAUACGGACAUUUUAGAGAUAUUGUGAAAUAUUGCAAAAAGUUUGCUAGAGACUGUAUGAUUCCAGGUUGUUUUGGUAACACUAGAUUAUCAUUAAAUAAGAUAGCGUUAAGAUGCAUAUCACAAUACAGUUAUUGAUGUAUAGUACAUAUGUUUGACAGGAAAUGUUUUGAGAGGUACUCUGAAGGAGCGAUUAGAGGGCUCGGGCUUGCAUGGGCUUCGAAGAGAUAAGAUGGCGGACAGAAUGGCUAAGUAAAUACUUAGAACAAUCAAGAGCAGACAAUACGGUGAAGAAAAGAAUUCUUCAUGUGCACAUUUCAUAUACUGUGAAGAAAAUGUAGUCGCCAUGCCAGCCUUACAUAUAUCAGUAGUAAUGUACAUGGCUCAAUUGAUGGAUCUGUGUUUUACAGUAUUAAAUGGAUCCAUUCUUUAAUAGUGUACAUGAUCCAAAGAAAGAUUUAACAAACUAUUAUAAGAAGCUUCAAAGCGUGUGUGUUUCAAACCAUCUCACAAGAAAGAUGUAUCAUGUACAUGUGCAUUCAUUAGAGAUGAUACAAACAUUGUGUUUGAUAUAAGGAGAUUCCACUGUUUUCAUUGAUUGAUCAUUUUUGGGUUAUGCAUGUACAUGUAUCAUGCAUAUUAACAAAUUAAGUGAGUUUGAUUGUAAUGACCUACAAUUGAAAUCUGAUCACUUUGUUAUUAAUGUACGCCAUUAUAAUACUGGCAUGUUUACGAAUGGUUCGGAUAUUAUAAUUGCAAAAUGUACAACUACAACUUCCCAUAUGGCGUUUUAUUAACAAAUAUGUAAUUAGGAAAUUGGUCAGAUGAAUCAAAUGAUUUUUUGUUCAAACCAGUUUUUGGUUAUAUAUAUGUAAUUAUUUAGACUAGCUAACGCCGAGGGCGUGUUUUAGAGAUGUUUGAAGCGACAUGGUCGAUGGAAGUCUGAUAGGGCUUAAGAUGGGUACAUUGAUUAUUCUCUAGACAAAAAAGCUUUUUAUCACUAGACAAUUGAAAUUAUAAUUGAUUUGCGGUUCGAAUUUAAAAACUUACUAACCUUUGUUUUUGUUCUAUCGCAAGCCUUGCCUAAUGCAAAACGGGUUGUGUUUUUUGCUUAGUUGUGUGAAGACUUUUCCGUUCUGUGCGUUACGGAGUAUAGCACAGAACGUAUGUCUAAACAUAACGCACCGCACAAAACAGGUAUAUGUGCGGUUCGUUCAUGCGCGUGGUUGUCACGUGAGUGAUGGUCAAUCAGGUGGACAUAGUCGGGAAUUUGCACGGGGUGUUCAUUGUUUGGUCAGUUCUACGCUAGACUUCGAUCAGUAAACUUUUACUUUUUUAAAUUCGAACCGCAUUAGUAGUAAAUUGGCUCAAAUGGCAUGUUAUGUUUGUGUUACAUAAUGUUUAGUAUUGGUUGUUUUCAGGUACAGUUUUCCAGAGUUAUUUUACAUGCGGUAUCUGAUGAAUUUUUAUCUCUGGUUUUUACCCUGGUCUUCAAAACACCAAUUAAGGACACAAUACUAGAAGUGAUGUAUACACAUUAUACAGUCCACUCUCGUUAUCUCGACAUCGGAUAUCUCGAUAUUCUCGAUAUGUCGAAGUAAGCUCAAUGUCCCAUUUUUUUCCUUCUUUAUCUAUAUAAAUAAACAUCGCUUAUCUCGAUUUUCGUUAUGUCGAAUAAUUCGAUAUGUCGAUAUAAAAUUUUGUCCCGAGUCCCGAUUUAACAUGUUUUUACCGCGGUUUAUCUCGAAGUGCGAAUAACUUUUCCAGUGUCGGCAAAAGGUGAGAAACUUUUUCUUUGAUACCUCACCGUCCCGCUACGCCCGGCUGCUCCCGAUACUAUGCGGUAGGAAAUUGAUCCGAUUAUUGCAUCAAUGAUCACACGUGUGUAAUGUCGUUAGCUAUUAACACUUGAUUAAGGCCUGUCACUUUAAGUGUCACUUUAAUAUCAAUUAACUGCAAUUAAUACACAGCCUGCCGAAAGGCCGAAAGACUAAUUGUUUUCACAAACAACAUUCCAAAAUGCAUUGAGUUAUAUUUAUGCGUAUAUACACCGUCGUUUACUCGACAGUUUAAAAAAAUUAUAACUGCAUGUGUUCAUGCAAUUCUGUAAUACUUAAAACGUCAUUUUAAGCAUUUAAAUAGCAAAAUUAAUCGUGCCUCGUAAAACGCGUAUAUAUCAGGAAGAGAGUAUUAUGCCACACGGUGACGGCUUUAGUAAAAUCACUUAGCAGGUAUUAAGAUGUUAAAAACAAGGUAAAUUUUCGUCUCAUUUUUCUUUGAAAACGCCUAAUCGGAUAUCUCGAACUUAUUUUUCUUUGAAAACGCCUAAUCGGAUAUCUCGAACUCUCGUUAUCUCGAUAUGUUUUCUUGUUCCCGCCGACUUCGAGAUAACGAGAGUGGACUGUAGUUAUAAUUUGUUAUAUAAUUUAUAGAUCGAAAAUUGUCCUGUCAAGGUUGUACUACGAUUGUACUUGAUUGCUAUAUGAUACGAAUAUGUAAUAUUCGUGGAUGUGUGUUGUCAAUAAACUGAUCGCAAGCCUUGCUUAAUGCAAAA
Long non-coding RNA from Dreissena polymorpha, 4947 nucleotides. RefSeq lists it as uncharacterized. The transcript is spliced from 2 exons. Lineage: Eukaryota; Metazoa; Mollusca; Bivalvia; Myida; Dreissenidae. The record is from RefSeq and is a predicted model, not a curated record.